This 75-nucleotide transfer RNA is filed under the name Flavobacterium akiainvivens. RNAcentral describes it as "tRNA-Arg". It matches the Rfam family "tRNA". From Rfam's summary of the family: Transfer RNA (tRNA) molecules are approximately 80 nucleotides in length. Their secondary structure includes four short double-helical elements and three loops (D, anti-codon, and T loops). The record is from RNAcentral. Lineage: Bacteria; Pseudomonadati; Bacteroidota; Flavobacteriia; Flavobacteriales; Flavobacteriaceae.
GGCUCCAUAGUUCAAUGGAUAGAAUAUCAGAUUCCGGUUCUGACGAUUUGGGUUCGAAUCCCGAUGGGGUCACAA